AUAAAUGCUUUGAAGAGAAGAGUAUAAUCGGCAAUUCUUAAAAGAGAGCUCCGUUUGGUGAAAAGGAGUAAGAAUGAAUGGUUGGAAGCAAGCCUCUGAGCAGCGCAUUGGAUCCAUGUAGGUGAUAGUGUGACAGGAGCUCCUGUUAUAGAGCUAAGGUAUAUGUAUGAAUUUCAUACCGUACCUAACGAGGGUAAUAGGGUAACCUAUUACCAAACUGGGGUGGCACCGCGGAACGCUAUAACUCGUCCUCAAG
Molecule: non-coding RNA, 256 nt
Filed under: Bacillus coahuilensis
Lineage: Bacteria; Bacillati; Bacillota; Bacilli; Caryophanales; Bacillaceae
Description: T-box sequence
Rfam family: T-box leader
About the family: Uncharged tRNA acts as the effector for transcription antitermination of genes in the T-box leader family. T-boxes are found upstream of many aminoacyl-tRNA synthetase genes and some amino acid biosynthetic genes usually in Gram-positive bacteria. The anticodon of a specific tRNA base pairs to a specifier sequence within the T-box motif, and the NCCA acceptor tail of the tRNA base pairs to a conserved bulge in the T-box antiterminator hairpin.
Source: RNAcentral